UCUCCGUAGGUGAACCUGCGGAGGGAUCAUUACUGAGUGAGGGCUCACGCCCGACCUCCAACCCUUUGUGAACACAUCUUGUUGCUUCGGGGGCGACCCUGCCGGCACUCGGUCGCCGGGCGCCCACGCAGGUCUACCAACACUGCAUCUUUGCGUCGGAGUUUAAAACAAAUUAAACAAAACUUUCAACAACGGAUCUCUUGGUUCUGGAAUCGAUGAAGAACGCAGC
This 229-nucleotide unclassified non-coding RNA is filed under the name uncultured fungus. Its description in RNAcentral is "sequence contains ITS1, 5.8S rRNA gene". The stretch from base 181 to 229 matches the Rfam family "5.8S ribosomal RNA", at positions 1 to 49 of the family's 154-position model. The record is from RNAcentral. Lineage: Eukaryota; Fungi.